UUAAGCGACUAAGCGUACACGGUGGAUGCCCUGGCAGUCAGAGGCGAUGAAGGGCGUGCUAAUCUGCGAUAAGCGCCGGUAAGGUGAUAUGAACCGUUAUAACCGGCGAUACCCGAAUGGGGAAACCCAGUGUGAUUCGUCACACUAUCAUUAACUGAAUCCAUAGGUUAAUGAGGCGAACCGGGGGAACUGAAACAUCUAAGUACCCCGAGGAAAAGAAAUCAACCGAGAUUCCCCCAGUAGCGGCGAGCGAACGGGGAGGAGCCCAGAGCCUGAAUCAGCAUGUGUGUUAGUGGAAGCGUCUGGAAAGGCGCGCGAUACAGGGUGACAGCCCCGUACACAAAAGCGCAUGUGCUGUGAGCUCGAUGAGUAGGGCGGGACACGUGGUAUCCUGUCUGAAUAUGGGGGGACCAUCCUCCAAGGCUAAAUACUCCUGACUGACCGAUAGUGAACCAGUACCGUGAGGGAAAGGCGAAAAGAACCCCGGCGAGGGGAGUGAAAAAGAACCUGAAACCGUGUACGUACAAGCAGUGGGAGCACAGGUUUACCUGUGUGACUGCGUACCUUUUGUAUAAUGGGUCAGCGACUUAUAUUCUGUAGCAAGGUUAACCGUAUAGGGGAGCCGGAGGGAAACCGAGUCUUAAUUGGGCGUUAAGUUGCAGGGUAUAGACCCGAAACCCGGUGAUCUAGCCAUGGGCAGGUUGAAGGUUGGGUAACACUAACUGGAGGACCGAACCGACUAAUGUUGAAAAAUUAGCGGAUGACCUGUGGCUGGGGGUGAAAGGCCAAUCAAACCGGGAGAUAGCUGGUUCUCCCCGAAAGCUAUUUAGGUAGCGCCUCGUGAAUUCAUCUCCGGGGGUAGAGCACUGUUUCGGCUAGGGGGCCAUCCCGGCUUACCAACCCGAUGCAAACUGCGAAUACCGGAGAAUGUUAUCACGGGAGACACACGGCGGGUGCUAACGUCCGUCGUGAAGAGGGAAACAACCCAGACCGCCAGCUAAGGUCCCAAAGUCAUGGUUAAGUGGGAAACGAUGUGGGAAGGCCCAGACAGCCAGGAUGUUGGCUUAGAAGCAGCCAUCAUUUAAAGAAAGCGUAAUAGCUCACUGGUCGAGUCGGCCUGCGCGGAAGAUGUAACGGGGCUAAACCAUGCACCGAAGCUGCGGCAGCGACGCUUAUGCGUUGUUGGGUAGGGGAGCGUUCUGUAAGCCUGUGAAGGUGUGUCGUGAGGCAUGCUGGAGGUAUCAGAAGUGCGAAUGCUGACAUAAGUAACGAUAAAGCGGGUGAAAAGCCCGCUCGCCGGAAGACCAAGGGUUCCUGUCCAACGUUAAUCGGGGCAGGGUGAGUCGACCCCUAAGGCGAGGCCGAAAGGCGUAGUCGAUGGGAAACGGGUUAAUAUUCCCGUACUUGGUGUUACUGCGAAGGGGGGACGGAGAAGGCUAUGUUGGCCGGGCGACGGUUGUCCCGGUUUAAGCGUGUAGGUGUGUGUUCCAGGUAAAUCCGGUUCACUUUAACACUGAGGCGUGAUGACGAGGCACUACGGUGCUGAAGCAACAAAUGCCCUGCUUCCAGGAAAAGCCUCUAAGCAUCAGGUAACAUCAAAUCGUACCCCAAACCGACACAGGUGGUCAGGUAGAGAAUACCAAGGCGCUUGAGAGAACUCGGGUGAAGGAACUAGGCAAAAUGGUGCCGUAACUUCGGGAGAAGGCACGCUGACACGUAGGUGAAGUGAUUUACUCACGGAGCUGAAGUCAGUCGAAGAUACCAGCUGGCUGCAACUGUUUAUUAAAAACACAGCACUGUGCAAACACGAAAGUGGACGUAUACGGUGUGACGCCUGCCCGGUGCCGGAAGGUUAAUUGAUGGGGUCAGCGCAAGCGAAGCUCCUGAUCGAAGCCCCGGUAAACGGCGGCCGUAACUAUAACGGUCCUAAGGUAGCGAAAUUCCUUGUCGGGUAAGUUCCGACCUGCACGAAUGGCGUAAUGAUGGCCAGGCUGUCUCCACCCGAGACUCAGUGAAAUUGAACUCGCUGUGAAGAUGCAGUGUACCCGCGGCAAGACGGAAAGACCCCGUGAACCUUUACUAUAGCUUGACACUGAACAUUGAGCCUUGAUGUGUAGGAUAGGUGGGAGGCUUUGAAGUGUGGACGCCAGUCUGCAUGGAGCCGACCUUGAAAUACCACCCUUUAAUGUUUGAUGUUCUAACGUGGACCCGUAAUCCGGGUUGCGGACAGUGUCUGGUGGGUAGUUUGACUGGGGCGGUCUCCUCCUAAAGAGUAACGGAGGAGCACGAAGGUUGGCUAAUCCUGGUCGGACAUCAGGAGGUUAGUGCAAUGGCAUAAGCCAGCUUGACUGCGAGCGUGACGGCGCGAGCAGGUGCGAAAGCAGGUCAUAGUGAUCCGGUGGUUCUGAAUGGAAGGGCCAUCGCUCAACGGAUAAAAGGUACUCCGGGGAUAACAGGCUGAUACCGCCCAAGAGUUCAUAUCGACGGCGGUGUUUGGCACCUCGAUGUCGGCUCAUCACAUCCUGGGGCUGAAGUAGGUCCCAAGGGUAUGGCUGUUCGCCAUUUAAAGUGGUACGCGAGCUGGGUUUAAAACGUCGUGAGACAGUUCGGUCCCUAUCUGCCGUGGGCGCUGGAGAACUGAGGGGGGCUGCUCCUAGUACGAGAGGACCGGAGUGGACGCAUCACUGGUGUUCGGGUUGUCAUGCCAAUGGCACUGCCCGGUAGCUAAAUGCGGAAAAGAUAAGUGCUGAAAGCAUCUAAGCACGAAACUUGCCCCGAGAUGAGUUCUCCCUGAGACUUAGAGUCUCCUGAAGGAACGUUGAAGACGACGACGUUGAUAGGCCGGGUGUGUAAGCGCAGCGAUGCGUUGAGCUAACCGGUACUAAUGAACCGUGAGGCUUAACCUU
Molecule: ribosomal RNA, 2906 nt
Filed under: Salmonella enterica
Lineage: Bacteria; Pseudomonadati; Pseudomonadota; Gammaproteobacteria; Enterobacterales; Enterobacteriaceae
Description: bacterial LSU rRNA
Rfam family: Bacterial large subunit ribosomal RNA
Source: RNAcentral